This 1123-nucleotide long non-coding RNA is filed under the name Olea europaea (common olive). RNAcentral's name for it is "long non-coding RNA (OEUR_LNC013211)". Lineage: Eukaryota; Viridiplantae; Streptophyta; Magnoliopsida; Lamiales; Oleaceae. The record is from RNAcentral.
UUUUUUCUUCUUUGUUUUGACAUAUAUUUGAAGUAUAUUGAUUAUGUAGCUUGAUUGUUUGUAAAGUUGAAGUCUUUGAUCUUUUGUUCUUCGUAAAUUUGUGAGUUUGUUCAUAAAUUGAUGAUUUUUUUCAUAAAAUUUGUGGCAAAAUAACUUUUCGAUUCCUAAUUAAAUAAUAACACGACUUGCUCUAUUAUUGAUUGUUCUUCAGUUUAUUAGCAUGUUAUUGAAAAUGGCAUUUUGCUUGUUGCUUAUAAAAUUUUGAGAAUCAGCUUUUUUCUUCAUUUCGUUUCAGCAAUUUAUUGCAGAAAGGUUGCUGAUUUUGAUACUAUCAUUUUCGUUCUCUGUUUAUAUUGUGGAAAGCUUGCUAAAUUCGUGGCCAAUUUCGAAGCUAAAUGAUGGUAGAAGAAAUUAUCCUCAUUUUAUUGAAUUUGUAUUUGCAAGAGGGUAGUAAAAGAAUCUUAGUGAAAUACAAUUAAGUUGGUGCUUUGUUUGCAAUGUACUGAUGUUCAUAAGUUCCAUGUGGGAUUUCAUAAUUCCCGUUGGAUUCAUGUGGGUUUAUUUGUUUCUUCAACAGUUGUUGACUAGAAUGAGAGGAAGAAAUUUCGAAGUUUGUCAUGGCUGUAGAAGUAACACUCACUACUUUGGACAAUGCAAAACAAAACGUGGAUGCCCUUCAUGUAAACGUGGAUUUCGAAAAUGUUUUGAUAUAGAACGGAAUACUGAAAACAAAAGGGCGUUUAUUCUUCACGUGUAGUAACGACUAUGAAUAUUUCAAUUUGGUGAAAAAUCAAGAUUUAAGUGGAGAGUUGAGUGCCGUUGAUGAAGAGGUGAAUCAUGAGCCCAACGAGGAAUGUGAAGACUUGCCAAGAAUCUUCGACAACUUAGCUCGAAUUAUUGAGAAACGAGACGUCGAUAUAACAUUGUACGUAACAUUUCGCGAAGGAAAGGGAAUUGUAGAAUGUGAUGGGAAGGGGAAGGGACCGACUUGAACGGGUGAUAUCAAUUUGUAUUUGUUAUAUGCUUUGUUUGUACCGCAGUAACUUCUUUGUCAUAGUAGGCUUCAAUGUUCAAUGCUUAAUUUUGGCAACGCCGUUUGAGCAUUAGACAUAAGUUUGAUAUU